RNAcentral lists this ribosomal RNA (591 nucleotides) under uncultured Burkholderia sp. RNAcentral's name for it is "bacterial SSU rRNA". It matches the Rfam family "Bacterial small subunit ribosomal RNA", at positions 418 to 1003 of the family's 1533-position model. The record is from RNAcentral. Lineage: Bacteria; Pseudomonadati; Pseudomonadota; Betaproteobacteria; Burkholderiales; Burkholderiaceae.
UCGGGUUGUAAAGCACUUUUGUCCGGAAAGAAAACUUCCUGGUUAAUACCUGGGGAGGAUGACGGUACCGGAAGAAUAAGCACCGGCUAACUACGUGCCAGCAGCGCGGUAAUCGUAGGGUGCGAGCGUUGAUCGGAAUUACUGGGCGUAAAGCGUGCGCAGGCGGUUCGUUAAGACAGAUGUGAAAUCCCCGGGCUUAACCUGGGAACUGCAUUUGUGACUGGCGAGCUAGAGUAUGGCAGAGGGGGGUAGAAUUCCACGUGUAGCAGUGAAAUGCGUAGAGAUGUGGAGGAAUACCGAUGGCGAAGGCAGCCCCCUGGGCCAAUACUGACGCUCAUGCACGAAAGCGUGGGGAGCAAACAGGAUUAGAUACCCUGGUAGUCCACGCCCUAAACGAUGUCAACUAGUUGUUGGGGAUUCAUUUCCUUAGUAACGUAGCUAACGCGUGAAGUUGACCGCCUGGGGAGUACGGUCGCAAGAUUAAAACUCAAAGGAAUUGACGGGGACCCGCACAAGCGGUGGAUGAAUGUGGAUUAAUUCGAUGCAACGCGAAAAACCUUACCUACCCUUGACAUGGUCGGAACCCCGCUG